Long non-coding RNA from Argentina anserina (silverweed cinquefoil), 618 nucleotides. RefSeq lists it as uncharacterized. Lineage: Eukaryota; Viridiplantae; Streptophyta; Magnoliopsida; Rosales; Rosaceae. The transcript is spliced from 3 exons. The record is from RefSeq and is a predicted model, not a curated record.
CCAUCUAUAUAACACAUGAGGAUUGACAUAAAUUAACAUGAAACAUACAAACAUAUAUAAAUUUGUACAUAUAUAUAUCUAAUUUGUACAUGGUUGAUGUUCAAGUAUCUUAGUGUUCUUCAUUUUGGUCCAGUACGUUAGUUGUUCUUAUAUAGUACACAAAUAUGCAUAGCACAUAUGAACUAUGAUGAUCUAUAUUAGUGUUCUUAUAUUAUGAAACAGCCAAAACUCUAGUAAUUAAGUGGACCAUGGAGCUGAUUAAGUGGACCAUGGAGCUGAUUACUACCCCUAGUAAACUUUAUUUUUUUGCAUCUAAGUUGAUUUUUCUCCGUUUUAAGGUGUGUUAUGGCCUUUAGAAAUACUGUUUUUCAAGUUUAAUACCCCCAGUAGAAGUUUACUACCUCUAGUAAACUUUAGUAAAAAUUUUACUAACCCCAGUAAACUUUAUUUUUUUGCAUCUAAGUUGAUUUUUCUCCGUUUUAAGGUGUGUUAUGGCCUUUAGAAAUACUGUUUUUCAAGUUUAAUACCCCCAGUAGAAGUUUACUACCUCUAGUAAACUUUAGUAAAAUUUUUACUAACCCCAGUAAACUUUAUUUUUUUUGCAUCUAAGUUGAUUUU